This is a long non-coding RNA of Peromyscus eremicus (cactus mouse), 998 nucleotides long. RefSeq lists it as uncharacterized. The transcript has 2 exons. The record is from RefSeq and is a predicted model, not a curated record. Lineage: Eukaryota; Metazoa; Chordata; Mammalia; Rodentia; Cricetidae.
UAGAAGAUUUCUUAAUAAAGAAAAAAAAAGACAGAGGACUGUCUUCCAGGGAGACACCCCAUCCUCCCAGAAGCCCUAGGCCCAUCUAUUCUCUUGCAGAUUCAUCAGUCAGGUAUAGGUACUUCCUACUCCACCUAGGUGAAAAGGUUAAACCAAUUACCUGCUGCUGUACUGUCUGUACCCAGGUGAACCUGAGAAGACGAAAACCAGCACUCAUGGAUGUUCAAGGAAAGGAGCAUUGUUCCUGUGAACACUGGGAACCAGACUUUACUGAAGUUAUUCAAACAAGGAUCAGGUGCUCUCUGUACCAAGAUAAGCUGAAAUAAUUUGAAAUAAUGUUUGGCUGACUGCCUCCACUUCUUUCUGCUGUGGGAAGGCCACAGAUGAGUGAAAUGUCUAAUCAUUCCUUCAAGACUUUACAAUCCUUGCAAUAGACAACUAGAGACAUCCAGAGUCAUCUGUCACCCCCACCACUUGCUCCACCCUUGAUUCAACCAGCACACAAGUUCAAUCCCGGGGACUUGGUGUGGGUCUGCCACUUACUCAGCAAGACUCUGGAACCUUCCUGGAUGGAACUAUAUCUCAUAAUUCUGACAGCAGCAACAGCCAUCACAGUAUUGGGGACCACAGCUUGAAUCCACCAGUCCCAUCUAAAGGCAGACACCACCAGCCAGGAGAAGGGUGAAAAGGGAAGCAUAAUGCAAGAUCCCUAGCGCCCUCUAAAGGUGAGACUUAGUCACACCUCGAACUCAGACUAAUGCUAAUACUGGGAACCUUGGUAGGUGACUCCCACUAUGUGGCCAACUGAAAAUGUUGAACUAUGGGAUUGGGAAUUUUCUUGAACCACAGAUGGGAAAGUAAUAGGCAUUUUCCAGAUCACCACCUGCUGACUUGUGUUUAGAUUUGACCUGUGUGAUUUCUUUGACAAUGAACUUGGGGCUGAAUGGUGAAGUUACAGUCCAGUUCAUCUGGGGUUUGGAAUGAAAAUGUGGAAAACA